UCUUAGCGCUAAGGUUGUUUUGUACAACAGCACCCAGGUGUCUGGUGUAAUUAUGCUUAUAUAUAGUUGAUGUACAGGGUUUCAUCAAGGUACUGGUGUACUGGAUGAUGUGCGGUGUAAUCGCACAAGCGACAUCUUCAGGGGUAGACUGACAUUUAAUCUCAAAAUAUCAAUGUUUAAUUUAUAUACACAUUUAUCCAUGAAAUACAAAGUAGACAUGGUAGUGACUUGUUAUAGACUUUAGUUGGUGCAGUCUCUUGGGUGUUGGAGACAUUUUCAGGUGACGGUUGCAAUAAUAUGUUUCAUCAAUUUUUCAUUCAAAUAUAUUGACCCGUUUUCUGUUACAUUGACGGCUAUAACAAAUGGUAUAACGGGAUCUAUGAAUAAACUAGAUACAAAUUGGCUCCACAAAGCGUGUCUGAAACCUAUGUUUCGUAGGAUGAAUUCUAAGAUUCGCAUGGAGUUUCGUUGUUUUGUGUCGUAGCUUUCCGGAAAGGGGUAAACAACAAUUUCUAAAACCACAAAGCAGCGUGAGAUCAAACUCACUUAUUCACUUAUUUGGUGUACAGAUUUUACUUUUAUAAAAGCAUACAAUAAAAGUAUCUGAUCACUUGCAUUAUAUUC
Molecule: long non-coding RNA, 624 nt
Organism: Haliotis rubra (blacklip abalone)
Lineage: Eukaryota; Metazoa; Mollusca; Gastropoda; Lepetellida; Haliotidae
Exons: 3
Source: RefSeq, a predicted model, not a curated record